RNAcentral lists this long non-coding RNA (310 nucleotides) under Homo sapiens (human). RNAcentral's name for it is "non-protein coding lnc-PPP1R26-2:1". The record is from RNAcentral. Lineage: Eukaryota; Metazoa; Chordata; Mammalia; Primates; Hominidae.
AACGAUAACAUGGCCCCAAGUCCUUGCCCCUCUUCCCAUCAAGACGUGGGGUCUCUACCCCCCACCCCCACUGCCCCUCUUCCCAUCAAGACGUGGGGUCUGUACCCCCUACCCACACUGACCCUCUUCCCAUCGAGAGGUGGGGUCUCUACCCCUUACCCACACUGACCCUCUUCCCAUUGAGAGGUGGGGUCUCUACCCCUUACCCACACUGACCCUCUUCCCAUUGAGAGGUGGGGUCUCUACCCCUUACCCACACUGACCCUCUUCCCAUUGAGAGGUGGGGUCUCUACCCCUUACCCCCACUGCC